CAGCCGCCACGGUAAUACGAAGGGUGCAAGCGUUAAUCGGAAUUACUGGGCGUAAAGCGUGCGUAGGCGGUUUGUUAAGUCUGUUGUGAAAUCCCCGGGCUCAACCUGGGAAUGGCAAUGGAUACUGGCAAGCUAGAGUGUGUCAGAGGAUGGUGGAAUUCCCGGUGUAGCGGUGAAAUGCGUAGAGAUCGGGAGGAACAUCAGUGGCGAAGGCGGCCAUCUGGGACAACACUGACGCUGAGGCACGAAAGCGUGGGGAGCAAACAGGAUUAGAUACCCGCGUAGUCCCUGUCUCUUAUAC
This 301-nucleotide ribosomal RNA is filed under the name uncultured bacterium. RNAcentral describes it as "partial 16S ribosomal RNA". It matches the Rfam family "Bacterial small subunit ribosomal RNA", at positions 509 to 807 of the family's 1533-position model. The record is from RNAcentral.